RNAcentral lists this ribosomal RNA (371 nucleotides) under Siphlophis cervinus (Panama spotted night snake). Its description in RNAcentral is "partial 16S ribosomal RNA". It matches the Rfam family "Bacterial large subunit ribosomal RNA", at positions 1971 to 2556 of the family's 2925-position model. Lineage: Eukaryota; Metazoa; Chordata; Lepidosauria; Squamata; Dipsadidae. The record is from RNAcentral.
GUCUAUUAAUUGUAGACCAGCAUGAAAGGCAACAUGAGGGCCUAACUGUCUCUUAUAAUAAAUCAAUUAAACUGAUCUCCUAGUAAAAAAGCUAGAAUUUUACCAUAAGACCAGAAGACCCUGUGAAGCUUAAACUAAACUAUUAAAACAUAUAAUAACUACUUUCGGUUGGGGCGACCUUGGAAAAAAAAAGAACUUCCAACAUACUAAUUUACCAUACCAUAUAGGCCUACAAGCCAUACAUUAAUGACCCAGUACAGCUGAUCAUUGAACCAAGUUACUCCAGGGAUAACAGCGCAAUCUUCUUCAAGAGCCCAUAUCAAAAAGAAGGUUUACGACCUCGAUGUUGGAUCAGGACAUCCUAACGGCGC